RNAcentral lists this ribosomal RNA (2565 nucleotides) under Triticum aestivum (bread wheat). RNAcentral's name for it is "partial small subunit ribosomal RNA". Lineage: Eukaryota; Viridiplantae; Streptophyta; Magnoliopsida; Poales; Poaceae. The record is from RNAcentral.
AUGGCCGACGUCCCUCCAGUGCAGACGGCGAUGCCAACGGAUACAGAGGCAAACGCGCCGCUCGUGCAGCCAUGGGAGUACAGCCUGCGGAAGUACCUCCUGCUGCUGGCCACCCUGGUGAUCACCGUCACGUACGCCGCCGGCUUCAACCCGCCCGGAGGCGUCUGGCAGGUCAUCCAUGAGGGCAAACUCGCCGGCGAUCCUAUCAUCCGCCAAAUCCACUACCGCCGCUACCUCGCCUUCUUCUACUGCAACGCCGCGGCAUUUGCCGCGUCCCUCGUGGUCAUCGUCCUCAUCCUCAUCCUCGCCGUCCAGCACGACAAGGAGAAGGAGAAGAAGAAGAAGGACGCCGUCCAGGUCGUCCUGCCGCUGCGGGGCUUCAUGAUUCUGGACGUGCUCAGCCUCAUGGGCGCCUACGGCGCCGGCACCUGCCGGGACAAGAGCUCCACUGUCUACUUCGCGGUGCUGGUGGCCGCCGUCUUCCUCUACAUCGUCGUCGUCAAGUUGCUGGACUCGUGGCUUACCGGCAAGCACUCCGACUCGUCCGGCUCCAGCGUGGAGUCCCAGAACGAGAUGGCCCUCAAGGAACUGAAAGAGAAAGAUCAAGAACGGCUCCGCAAGAUCCUGAUGCUCCUGGCGACUUUCGCUGCGAGCAUCACCUACGUCGCUGGGCUGAACGCUCCGGGUGGCUUCUGGGACAGCACCGGCGGCAACCACCGCCCGGGCGAUGCAAUUCUCAACGACCACCACAACCUGCGCAUGAGGGUGUUUUUACACUGCAAUACCACGGCGUUCGUGGCGUCCCUGCUCAUCACCAUGCUGCUCAUUGUCGACAGCAAGAAGCUCCCUGCUCGAUCUUUCGUGCUCUACGUGUGCAUCGUCGUCGCGCUUGUCGGCCUCGUCGGCGCAUAUGCGGCUGGCAGCUGCAGGGACACUGGUACCACCGCCAUAGUGGUCAGCCUGGCCGGCGCCGUGCUGGCAUUGGCAUGCAUCCUACUCCGCACUUUACCGUCAGAAUCCUUGUCUUGUUGUUCCUGUAGAACAAGAAAAACUGAUGCAACUCAGCACAGUUCUAAGGAGCUUCUGGACAAAGCUCGCUCUCUUGUUCUACUCCUCGCGACUCUUGCCGCCACCAUCACCUACACGGCAGGGUUGGACCCGCCAGGUGGCCUUUGGCAGGAAAACGGCGAUGGGCACAUGGCCGGCGACCCCAUCCUCCUCACGACCAACGCUAGGAGGUACAAGGCCUUCUUCUACUGCAACUCGGUUGCGUUCGUGACCUCCUUGGUGGCCAUCAUCCUGGUCCAGGAGGAGAAUCUGGUCAAGCACCACGUGCUAGAGGCAGCCAUGAUACUCGACCUAUUUGGCCUCAUUGGCGCGUAUGCUGCCGGGAGCUGCCGGGACGUGAGCACCUCCAUCUAUGCCAUGGCCUUGGCAGGUGCUGUCCUGGUCUAUGUGGUGAUCCAUGUCGUCUUCUUCACGCUAGACUACAAGGUUACGGAAAACAACGACCAAAAAGAUCGUUUGCUAGAGAAGAGGCGCAAACGGUUGCUCCUCUUCGCGAUUUUGACCGCAACCAUCACCUACCAAGCCGGCCUCACCCCUCCUGGCGGCUUCUUGCUCCAGGACGACGAGCUCGGGCACCGCGCUGGUGACCCGGUCCUCUUGUACAACUACCCAGGCCGCUACAACGCCUUUUUCUACUCCAACUCGGUGAGCUUUAUGCUGUCCAUCGCCCUCAUCAUCCUCCUGGUGAACCCUAAUCUGUACAGGCCAGCCAUACGGAGCAAUGCGCUAUCUGUUUGUACGGCUGUGGGGUUGUUUUGUUUGAUGGGAGCCUACGCCGCGGGAAGCACGCAACACCUCAAGACAUCCAUCUACAUCUUCGCGUUGGUGGUCGUGGUCCUCUUCGUUGCAGUCGUAGUGCUGCUAGUAUUUUUACUGAAGGGGCCGAACAUAAAUAGCAACAAUUCGGCGCCCAAAACAAAGGACGAAGAAGGGAAGGAAGAUGGCAACAAUUCGGCACCCAAAGAACAGGACGAGGAAGAAGGGAAGAAGGAAGAAAAAGGGAAGAAGGUAGAAGAAAGGAAGAAGCACGAGAUGCGCAAGUACCUGAUGCUGCUAGGCAUUCUGGUGGCGAGCGUAGCAUACCAGGCCGGCCUGAAACCGCCAGGUGGAGCAUGGCAGAGCAGUGGCAACGGGUACGAAGCAGGCGACCCAGUGAUGCGCAACAACAGGAGGCCCCGGUACCUCGCAUUCUUCUACAGCAACUCCAUUUCCUUCAUGUCUUCCAUAGUUGUCAUCAUCAUUUUGCUAUGGCAAUGGCUGCAAAAGAAGGCGAAAGGAGAAUGGGAGGAACAGUCGCUCAGGGUGAUGAACUGGACGAUCCGACUGGAUUUGAUUGCUCUCCUAGUAGCCUAUGCAGCCGGCUCCAACAGGGGGUGGAAGACGUCUGUUUAUGUCGCCAUGCUCAUCAUUGCUGUGCUGGGCUACUUUGCAAUCCAUAUGACGCUGGCACGUAUUGUUUGUCAGCUUAAGAAAUCCAAAGAGAGACCUGCAGUGUGA